This 437-nucleotide ribosomal RNA is filed under the name Yinghuangia aomiensis. Its description in RNAcentral is "bacterial SSU rRNA". It matches the Rfam family "Bacterial small subunit ribosomal RNA", at positions 338 to 787 of the family's 1533-position model. The record is from RNAcentral. Lineage: Bacteria; Bacillati; Actinomycetota; Actinomycetes; Kitasatosporales; Streptomycetaceae.
CCUACGGGGGGCAGCAGUGGGGAAUAUUGGGCAAUGGGCGAAAGCCUGACGCAGCGACGCCGCGUGAGGGAUGACGGCCUUCGGGUUGUAAACCUCUUUCAGCAGGGAAGAAGCGAAAGUGACGGUACCUGCAGAAGAAGCACCGGCUAACUACGUGCCAGCAGCCGCGGUAAUACGUAGGGUGCGAGCGUUGUCCGGAAUUAUUGGGCGUAAAGAGCUCGUAGGCGGCUUGUCACGUCGGAUGUGAAAACCCGGGGCUCAACCCCGGGCCUGCAUUCGAUACGGGCAGGCUAGAGUUCGGCAGGGGAGACUGGAAUUCCUGGUGUAGCGGUGAAAUGCGCAGAUAUCAGGAGGAACACCGGUGGCGAAGGCGGGUCUCUGGGCCGAUACUGACGCUGAGGAGCGAAAGCGUGGGGAGCGAACAGGAUUAGAUACCC